Non-coding RNA from Balearica regulorum gibbericeps (East African grey crowned-crane), 299 nucleotides. NCBI's taxonomy places the organism in Eukaryota, Metazoa, Chordata, Aves, Gruiformes, Gruidae. The record is from RefSeq and is a predicted model, not a curated record.
GCUUUUGCAGCACCUGAAGCGAAUAAUCUCCGACCUGUGCAAACUCUACAACCUCCCCCAACAUCCAGAUGUUGAAAUGCUGGACCAGCCUCUGCCGGCAGAACAGAGCACGCAGGAAGAGGUGUCCUCUGAAGAAGAAGAUGAAGAGAUGCCAGAGGACACUGAGGACUUGGACCACUAUGAGAUGAAAGAAGAAGAGCCAGCAGAUGGGAAGAAGACAGAGGAUGAAGGCAUUGGGAAGGAAAACCUGGCCAUUUUAGAGAAAAUAAAAAAGAACCAGAGGCAAGAUUACUUAAAUG